UUUCCGUAGGUGAACCUGCGGAAGGAUCAUUAUUGAAUACGUUUGGUUCUGACGCUGGCUCUUCACUGAGCAUGUGCUCGAUCCAUAACUAUUUAUCUUCUCUUGUGCACCUUUUGUAGUCUUUCAGAGCAAGUGAUAACUCUCGCAGCAAUGCGGUUUGGGGGACUUGGGCGUGAGCCCUUCCCCUGCGUUUGCUUCUUUGGAGGGCUAUGUUUUCAUAUACACUAUAAAGUUACAGAAUGUCUUUUAAAGAUUGUGCUAGUCGCAGUCAUUAAACCUAUACAACUUUCAGCAACGGAUCUCUUGGCUCUC
Molecule: unclassified non-coding RNA, 312 nt
Filed under: plant metagenome
Description: partial contains small subunit ribosomal RNA, internal transcribed spacer 1, and 5.8S ribosomal RNA
Source: RNAcentral